This 429-nucleotide ribosomal RNA is filed under the name Pseudomonadota bacterium. Its description in RNAcentral is "Proteobacteria bacterium partial 16S ribosomal RNA". It matches the Rfam family "Bacterial small subunit ribosomal RNA", at positions 355 to 776 of the family's 1533-position model. Lineage: Bacteria; Pseudomonadati; Pseudomonadota. The record is from RNAcentral.
UGGGGAAUAUUGGACAAUGGGCGAAAGCCUGAUCCAGCCAUGCCGCGUGUGUGAAGAAGGUCUUCGGAUUGUAAAGCACUUUAAGUUGGGAGGAAGGGCAGUAAGCGAAUACCUUGCUGUUUUGACGUUACCGACAGAAUAAGCACCGGCUAACUCUGUGCCAGCAGCCGCGGUAAUACAGAGGGUGCAAGCGUUAAUCGGAAUUACUGGGCGUAAAGCGCGCGUAGGUGGUUCGUUAAGUUGAAUGUGAAAGCCCCGGGCUCAACCUGGGAACUGCAUCCAAAACUGGCGAGCUAGAGUAGGGCAGAGGGUGGUGGAAUUUCCUGUGUAGCGGUGAAAUGCGUAGAUAUAGGAAGGAACACCAGUGGCGAAGGCGACCACCUGGGCUCAUACUGACACUGAGGUGCGAAAGCGUGGGGAGCAAAAAGG